CAAAUUAAAUCUUAUUAGUUAAGAGUUUUAUUUACAAUAAAAUUUAAAUUGUGCAAAUCAAUUUAAUUUGA
RNAcentral lists this transfer RNA (71 nucleotides) under Parapsyche elsis. Its description in RNAcentral is "tRNA-Val". Lineage: Eukaryota; Metazoa; Arthropoda; Insecta; Trichoptera; Hydropsychidae. The record is from RNAcentral.